RNAcentral lists this long non-coding RNA (385 nucleotides) under Monodelphis domestica (gray short-tailed opossum). RNAcentral's name for it is "lncRNA (ENSMODG00000030182.2)". Lineage: Eukaryota; Metazoa; Chordata; Mammalia; Didelphimorphia; Didelphidae. The record is from RNAcentral.
AUGAGACCUUUGCUUGCUGUUCUUCUCAUGGCUAUGGCGGCGGUUUUCUGGUGUGAAGCUACUCCCAUGGAUUUGUUUAGGAAGUUCAUCAUAGAUAACAUAAUUUUUCUGAAAGAAAUAAUUCGGGUUGUAUUGGAAAAGAAGGAAUGUAUGAAACAACUAAGUGAAGAACAAAUUAAGUUCCUGAGUGAUUUCAUGGAAAAUUGGAAGAGUAUGGGAAAAUCUUUCUCCUAGGCUAGGAACUUUCUGGAGCCAAAUGACCUUAUUGUCAACCAAGAGCCCACUCACUGUAGAAUGUAGACCUAGAUGUUGCCUGUGACCCUCUGGACUCACACCAAAGCUUCUCCUCAAUAAAUCAAAUGCAAUUCAUCCCUGAAUCUGUCCU